This 1935-nucleotide small RNA is filed under the name Pongo abelii (Sumatran orangutan). RNAcentral describes it as "processed transcript". Lineage: Eukaryota; Metazoa; Chordata; Mammalia; Primates; Hominidae. The record is from RNAcentral.
CGGCCGCGAGGUGGCCAUGAAGAUCCAGUACCCUGGCGUGGCCCAGAGCAUCAACAGUGAUGUCAACAACCUCAUGGCCGUGCUGAACAUGAGCAACAUGCUUCCAGAAGGCCUAUUCCCCGAGCACCUGAUCGACGUGCUGAGGCGGGAGCUGGCCCUGGAGUGUGACUACCAGCGGGAGGCCGCCUGCGCCCGCAAGUUCAGGUGUGGCCCCCCAGCCGGGCCCCUUGCGUGUUUCCACCAGGGAGGCAGAAGGAACCAUGUUCAGCAGCUGGUGAAGGCCCCUCUGGCUCUGAGGGGCAGAGGGCUGGGGUUGCAGCCUGGGCCGAGGCCACAUCCUGCCUGGGGUGAAGGAGGGCUCUCUGCCUGGUGGGGUGUGUGUGUGGGGGGGCGGUGUGGGGGGCCUGUGGCUAGAGCGUGACCUCCCGCCCCUACCCAGGGACCUGCUGAAGGGCCACCCCUUCUUCUACGUGCCUGAGAUUGUGGAUGAGCUCUGCAGCCCACAUGUGCUGACCACAGAGCUGGUGUCCGGCUUCCCCCUGGACCAGGCCGAAGGGCUCAGCCAGGAGAUUCGGAAUGAGAUCUGCUACAACAUCCUGGUUCUGUGCCUGAGGGAGCUGUUCGAGUUCCACUUCAUGCAAACAGACCCCAACUGGUCCAACUUCUUCUAUGACCCCCAGCAGCACAAGGUGGCUCUUUUGGAUUUUGGGGCAACGCGGGAAUAUGACAGAUCCUUCACCGACCUCUACAUUCAGAUCAUCAGGGCUGCUGCUGACAGGGACAGGGAGACUGUGCGGGCGAAAUCCAUAGAGAUGAAGUUCCUCACUGGCUACGAGGUCAAGGUCAUGGAAGACGCCCACUUGGAUGCCAUCCUCAUCCUGGGGGAGGCCUUCGCCUCCGAUGAGCCCUUUGAUUUUGGCACCCAGAGCACCACCGAGAAGAUCCACAACCUGAUUCCCGUCAUGCUGAGGCACCGUCUCGUCCCCCCACCCGAGGAGACCUACUCCCUGCACAGGAAGAUGGGGGGCUCCUUCCUCAUCUGCUCCAAGCUGAAGGCCCGCUUCCCCUGCAAGGCCAUGUUCGAGGAGGCCUACAGCAACUACCGCAAGAGGCAGGCCCAGCAGUAGGGCUGUGGGCCACGCCCAGGCCGGCUCCGCGGGAACUCUCUCCCUCAGACAGGCCAAAAACCAGUAGGGAGGUGGUGGUGAUGCUCUUUUUAACUCCUUUGCCCAAUAAGGGGGGGUGGCUGCCUGGAGCCCCGUAGCCAGCGCUUUCCACGGUUUCUGUUGCUAAAUGGUUGUAGGGUGAGAAGUGCAGGAAUGAAGAUGAAGCCCCACUGCUCGGUCAGUCUGCCUCCGUGUGUCCUCUGAAAUAAGUAGAUGAAGAUGAAAGGGCAACUUUGUUUUCUUCUUUUUCCUGACGUGAAUGUUGAGCAGAAGGGAGAGAGUCCUUACUCCCUUCCAAUCUCUGUUCCAGUGCAAAACCCAGAAACAUGAACACAGAUACGAUUGUGGGAUUUUGUCAUCUGUGUAGUAGGUGUGUGUAUGUGUUUCUAGAGUUAGAUUUGUGUUUUUUGCCCUUUUCCUCUCCAUCCGAUGGGCUGGAGCUGGGAGAGGUGCUGAUCUAACAGUGCCAACAAGUGCUCCUUAAGCCUGCGAGGCCCAGGCCUGUGGGGCUGGCUCUCACCUUUGACAGCUGAAUGUUUCUAAAGAACUGCUGCCCUACAGUAAGGGUGGGAGCAGCAGAACAGGGAAUGCCAGACACAGGCUCGCUGCUGCUGGAAGGCAGGGUGGGACUUCCUUCCUCUGUCCGGAGAGGCACAGGUGUCACCAGUUCCAGCCAAAGGCUCCUCACAGGCUCUGUGAAUUUUUGUACAAGUCUUGUAAUUAUCGAAUCAACUUGUUUCAAUUUAAUAAAAAUGCUCAUGGGAAGUGC